RNAcentral lists this ribosomal RNA (1459 nucleotides) under Salmonella enterica subsp. enterica serovar Typhimurium. Its description in RNAcentral is "partial 23S ribosomal RNA". It matches the Rfam family "Bacterial large subunit ribosomal RNA", at positions 518 to 1874 of the family's 2925-position model. Lineage: Bacteria; Pseudomonadati; Pseudomonadota; Gammaproteobacteria; Enterobacterales; Enterobacteriaceae. The record is from RNAcentral.
AAAGAACCCCGGCGAGGGGAGUGAAAAAGAACCUGAAACCGUGUACGUACAAGCAGUGGGAGCACAGGUUUACCUGUGUGACUGCGUACCUUUUGUAUAAUGGGUCAGCGACUUAUAUUCUGUAGCAAGGUUAACCGUAUAGGGGAGCCGUAGGGAAACCGAGUCUUAACCGGGCGUUAAGUUGCAGGGUAUAGACCCGAAACCCGGUGAUCUAGCCAUGGGCAGGUUGAAGGUUGGGUAACACUAACUGGAGGACCGAACCGACUAAUGUUGAAAAAUUAGCGGAUGACCUGUGGCUGGGGGUGAAAGGCCAAUCAAACCGGGAGAUAGCUGGUUCUCCCCGAAAGCUAUUUAGGUAGCGCCUCGUGAAUUCAUCUCCGGGGGUAGAGCACUGUUUCGGCUAGGGGGCCAUCCCGGCUUACCAACCCGAUGCAAACUGCGAAUACCGGAGAAUGUUAUCACGGGAGACACACGGCGGGUGCUAACGUCCGUCGUGAAGAGGGAAACAACCCAGACCGCCAGCUAAGGUCCCAAAGUCAUGGUUAAGUGGGAAACGAUGUGGGAAGGCCCAGACAGCCAGGAUGUUGGCUUAGAAGCAGCCAUCAUUUAAAGAAAGCGUAAUAGCUCACUGGUCGAGUCGGCCUGCGCGGAAGAUGUAACGGGGCUAAACCAUGCACCGAAGCUGCGGCAGCGAACGUAUCACCCAAGACAACUUUACGGAGUUGACGAUUGACGGAGCGAAGCGACGUCAAAGCGUUCAUUAAAGUCGAGUUGGCUUAGGGAUACGUUCGUUGGGUAGGGGAGCGUUCUGUAAGCCUGUGAAGGUGUGUCGUGAGGCAUGCUGGAGGUAUCAGAAGUGCGAAUGCUGACAUAAGUAACGAUAAAGCGGGUGAAAAGCCCGCUCGCCGGAAGACCAAGGGUUCCUGUCCAACGUUAAUCGGGGCAGGGUGAGUCGACCCCUAAGGCGAGGCCGAAAGGCGUAGUCGAUGGGAAACGGGUUAAUAUUCCCGUACUUGGUGUUACUGCGAAGGGGGGACGGAGAAGGCUAUGUUGGCCGGGCGACGGUUGUCCCGGUUUAAGCGUGUAGGUGUGUGUUCCAGGUAAAUCCGGUUCACUUUAACACUGAGGCGUGACGACGAGGCACUACGGUGCUGAAGCAACAAAUGCCCUGCUUCCAGGAAAAGCCUCUAAGCAUCAGGUAACACGAAAUCGUACCCCAAACCGACACAGGUGGUCAGGUAGAGAAUACCAAGGCGCUUGAGAGAACUCGGGUGAAGGAACUAGGCAAAAUGGUGCCGUAACUUCGGGAGAAGGCACGCUGACACGUAGGUGAAGUGAUUUACUCAUGGAGCUGAAGUCAGUCGAAGAUACCAGCUGGCUGCAACUGUUUAUUAAAAACACAGCACUGUGCAAACACGAAAGUGGACGUAUACGGUGUGACGCCUGCCCGGUGCCGGAA